Long non-coding RNA from Papaver somniferum (opium poppy), 881 nucleotides. RefSeq lists it as uncharacterized. The transcript has 3 exons. Lineage: Eukaryota; Viridiplantae; Streptophyta; Magnoliopsida; Ranunculales; Papaveraceae. The record is from RefSeq and is a predicted model, not a curated record.
CCAGUUGAACAUGAAGAGAAAACUCCUUCUGCACCAUGGUUGGCUUCUUCCUCGGAAGAGAAAACUCAAUCGAAUUCUAGCCAAACUCCAAUCAAAGAAAAUCCGGUCUUCGUUGUUAUGAUUCUCUUUGUUUUAUUCAUACAAUCAAUUUCAUUGGAACUUGAUUAUAACGAUGAAGAUGAUUGAUUUCAAGUGAAUUUGUUUUCUUCGACUCAUUCUUAUCGUUUCUGGUACUUUUAAAUAUUAAAGAACACUACACCAAUUCUCCUCUGUCAGCCACUAGAGCUGCUUAAUGGGGGCUUUAAGUGCUUGAGCAGACCAAGCUUUAAAGCAUAGCUAGUCAAAGAGAAAAAAAAAAAUCCAGUUUUGUGGCUGUGUUAUGAGACUAUGUGCAGUAAGAUUGAUGUCUUCUGUGAUGCAAAGAAGGUCAUUGAUGCUCUUCAAAGUAGGGAGGUACCUCUGGCUUUAGCUUGGUGUACAGAGAAUAAAUCCAAGUUGAAGAAAUCCAAGGUGCAACAUUAUUUCUCUAAGUUUUUGUUUGUCUUGUGAUAAUUAUCUCGGUGAAAAGGUCAUCAUCUUUAUAAAAUGCACACUUUAGUUUAACAUUCUCUAGCGAUUUUUAGAAAGUUUAAACAUGCAAGUGUACUGCUAUUUGUCUACCUACAUACAUUCUUCAAGAAUUAAUUUCACUGUUCCGACCUUUGUGCUGAAUACUGUCCAAAGGAUAAAAAUUCUAAAACUUGCUGCUGAAUGUUAUGUUUCAGUUUUUUUUCUCACAAUUUUCCUAUUUCUCUUCUGACUCACUAUGUGCCAUGAGUGACUAAACUGCGUGUUCGAUUGACUUUUUUGUUCUUGGUUGUCUGUCUGAGUGAUUAAAUGUG